Molecule: long non-coding RNA, 535 nt
Organism: Carassius auratus (goldfish)
Lineage: Eukaryota; Metazoa; Chordata; Actinopteri; Cypriniformes; Cyprinidae
Exons: 2
Source: RefSeq, a predicted model, not a curated record
CUCGUGUUUUCUUCUCUCUCCGAUUUUACAAACUCCAUCUUCACAGCAGCAGAUCUCAGUUCAGAUGAUAAACUCCUCCAGAUAUUCCUGCUCGCUUCAAAACUCAGUCACGACUGUGAGGACGAGAAUAUUACAGGCAAAUUGCAUUAGUGUGCGUAAAGGGACGGAGCUACCACCAAUACAGAAAUACACAGAGUGCUGCAGCCGGUAUCACUGCCCGCUGUGCAAUUCAAACACAGUGGGGUACUGUGGAAACAGAAGACGUGGAGACCUGCGAGGGUUUUAUAGAGACCCUGAAUUUCCUGAGCAUUGCCCAGACUGCCAGUUUUAGGGGGCAGGAAUGAGGUGUGGUGUGCACAGUGUGCAAUAGUUUAUUUGGAACUGUUCAUGUUUUAUUUCCUCUUGAAAUAGGGACUUCCCCCACAACCUUAAGGAGCCUGACUGUGGCAUCUUCAUUCUGAUGGUCAGAUUUGACAAAUUGUACUAAUUAGAUUGUGUAAUUUCCAAUAAAUAUUGCAAAACCAUGAAGUGUUUA